CCUACGGGAGGCAGCAGUCGAGAAUCAUUCACAAUGGGGGAAACCCUGAUGGUGCGACGCCGCGUGGGGGAAUGAAGGUCUUCGGAUUGUAAACCCCUGUCAUGGGGGAGCAAAUUAAAAAGCGAGUACCACAAGAGGAAGAGAUGGCUAACUCUGAGCCAGCAGCCGCGUUAAUACAGAGGUCUCAAGCGUUGUUCGGAAUCACUGGGCGUAAAGCGUGCGGAGGAGGUUUCGUAAGUAGGGUGUGAAAGGCGCGGGCUCAACCCGCGGACUGCACAUGAUACUGCGAGACUAGAGUAAUGGUGAGGGAACCGGAAUUCUCGGUGUAGCAGUGAAAUGCGUAGAUAUCGAGAGGAACACUCGUGGCGAAGGCGGGUUCCUGGACAUUAACUGACGCUGAGGCACGAAGGCCAGGGGAGCGAAAGGGAUUAGAUACCCCGGUAGUC
RNAcentral lists this ribosomal RNA (446 nucleotides) under uncultured bacterium. RNAcentral's name for it is "partial 16S ribosomal RNA". It matches the Rfam family "Bacterial small subunit ribosomal RNA", at positions 338 to 795 of the family's 1533-position model. The record is from RNAcentral.